UCUCUGCUAAAGGUUAUAUCCUGAAGUAUAGAGGGUGAAUUCUGCCCAAUGGUUGUAUAGUGAAACUGAGGACUAACGUCUAAAGCGAAACCCAACUGAAUGGCCGCGGUAACUCUGACCGUGAUAAUGUAGCACAAUAAAUAGCCAAUUAAUUGUUGGCGGGUAUGAAUGGAACCACGAGGGUCUUACUGUCUCAAGAGGAAAGCCGAUGAAAUUAUAAUUGUAGUGAAGAUACUACAUAAACAUUGUAAGACGAAAAGACCCUAUCGAGCUUUACUGGAUACCGAUAGCGUUAAUUUAGAAUGAUCGAUACUAAGUAUCCUAAUUCUAAGUUAAUAAUUUUUGUUGGUAGGACAGUUUAGUUGGGGCGACUACCUUUGAAUAAGAAACGAAGGCGAGCUUAUGGUAUUAUUUAAAAUCUCAUUAGCCUCACAGUGAGGGGGACACCCCUAGCUGGCACACCCCAAAAGGACAUUUGUCCCCACGUAAGGGAUGUGGGCGAUAGUGACCCGAUAUGAUUAUCCAAAAUAAAUAUCGAAAGCGGAUAAAAGCUACCGUAGGGAUAACAGCGUAAUAUUGUCGGAGAGUUCUUAUCGAGGACAGUGUUUGCGACCUCGAUGUUGAAUUGCGGUGCCCUGGUGCUGUAGAAGGUACCUUAGGUUGGUCUGUUCGACCAUGAAAACCGUA
Molecule: ribosomal RNA, 687 nt
Filed under: Keratoisis sp. SCF-2009a
Lineage: Eukaryota; Metazoa; Cnidaria; Anthozoa; Scleralcyonacea; Keratoisididae
Description: partial 16S ribosomal RNA
Rfam family: Bacterial large subunit ribosomal RNA
Source: RNAcentral